AGCGUCCUGGAGCCCUUUAUUUGCACAGGGCCCUGCAGAGAACGGAGAACACCACACCCGGUGAGAGGAGGCUGUGGGUACAAGGAUGACUCUUAUGAAAGGCAGGAGAAAAGUGAGCCUGAGGAGGCGCUGGCCAGGCAGAGCCAGUACCACCUUACACAACCUGACAGGUGUGCACACAGGCCCUGUGCUGACCUGUGAGGUUUCGCUGGAGUGAGGUUGGGCCCUGCCUUGGGGAACUAGAGCCUCUUUUGGGAGUGGCAAGGACCAGAGCCAGGUCCAGGGACUUUCCACAGUCCAUGAGGCCUGAAGGCAGCAGCAGAGCUACAGCUCUUCCCAGAGCAACUGACUGUUCUGGGAACAAUGAGUACAGGACAGUCAGGUCAAGGAGGGAGGAAAGGUGAAGGAAGGGAUAGAGGGAAUGGUGCGCUUUCAUGUAUUUAUUCAGCAAACACUUAAGGAAGACUUACGUGCCAGUGAGGAUUUCUGGACCUGGCGUUGUGCUGGGUUGGCAGCUGUGCAAUUUGGCCAUCAUUUCAAAAGUCUUUUACAGAAGGAAAGGCUAGGUGAAAGGAACAGACCCAAAUCUAGGAAGUGCCAUAGAUUUCAAUGGUCUCACGUUGUUAGGGGAAAAAAGCAAUAAAGUCGAUCAUUAAAAUUAACCACUCUCAGUUUUAAACAUUUAAAAAUUAUUAAAUCCACCAUGACCUAAAUUACUCCCAUAUAACCAAAUUCUCUAUUUCAUUGUUCCCAAACUUGGGGCAAACAUCUUACUUUAAACGCUUUAAAGAAUAGUCAUUCCAAGUAGUUGCUUGCAUUUUCAUCCUCUGGAAUGCAUACUGUGCUAUAUUUUGAGUCUUUCCCCUUUGGAGCAGGUCCCAUCGAGCAUAUGAGUAUGAACAGUUAUUUACCAGUUACUUGGGUUUAUACUGUAUGGGUAAUUCUGCCCGUUUGAAUAGCUGGAGAAAUCACUCAAGUGCUGCUUAGGAGCAGACGUUUGAGAAGCUCAGAGUUCUCAGUGCCCUUGUGUGGGUGCCACCCCACAGCCCUCGCGGACAGUAAGAAUGGACAUGGAGGCAGCCCCGAUGAUUUUGUUCUUUUCAAUAAUCCAUUUUUCUUCCUGGGUGCUUAUAGGGCACUUUCUUUUUCCUUAGAUGGAUAAUCUGUGUUUGCUUGUUUAUUAAUUUCGCCUGAUUUUCUCCAAGCCUUUUUAGGAAAUUGAAUUUAGCCCAGGAAAUUGAAUUUCUCCGUGUCUCUCAUUCUGUCUGUUCUGAAUGUUAGGUGCCAGGACUUAAGAUACUUGUCAAUAUUGUAUGUGAACAAACUUACAGGUGAAAUACAUGCUUGUUGUAGAAAACUUAGAAAAUAAUUCAAGGAAAGAAAGAAAAGUUGCCUAUAAUUUCAUCUUAGAGAUAAAACUGACGAUAUUGUGGUAUUAUCUUUUUCCCAUAUCUUUCAUUGCUUUUAAUAAGUUUUUUUCUAAGCAGUAGAGAUACACACAUACACAUACAACAUCUUGUAACCUACUUUUAGCAGUUGGUAAGUAUUUCUUCUGACUUAAUAGAAACACUUAAUGAAAAUGACUGACAGUGAGGAUUUCAUAUGCUUGGGCCAGACAUUCCCAUGUCUCAACGGGUCCUCAUGGUGUGGUGGCUGGAGCACCUGGGAAAAGGGACAUUGCCAGCCAGCCCUGCCUCUGUGAUGUUCUCUGGCCAUGUCACCAUAUUCCUGUGAGCUUCCACGUUCUGAUCUGUAAAAUAGGGAUAAUAGUCACAGUUUUGCAGUGUAAAAAAAGGGCAUUUAGUAUAGGAUUAGGAAUUAUUAGAAACACUUUGAUAAGGAACUAUAAGAUGCACUUUUAUAUUAUAUCUAAGCUUGUAAACUUAACCAAAAGGCAACUGCAAAUCGUCCUGGCCAUUAAAGCACCAAAUAAAUUCUGGCACAUUAAUACUCUCAGUUCAGCUCCAUCAUCAAACAUGUCUCCCAUUCCUGGUGGCCUCACAGACACCAAGGUUUGCAGUUUUCAUGGGUUAUAAAAACAACUUGAUGAAAAGCAAGUCUUAUUCUUUUUUUUUUUUUCAAUUGAGAUGGGGUCUCCCAGUGUUGCCUGGGCUGGUCUCGGAACUCCUGGGCUCAAACAGUCCUCCUUCCUUGGCCUCCCAAAGUGGUGGGAUUACCACCACACCAGGCCAAAGCCUUGUU
Molecule: long non-coding RNA, 2202 nt
Filed under: Homo sapiens (human)
Lineage: Eukaryota; Metazoa; Chordata; Mammalia; Primates; Hominidae
Description: non-protein coding lnc-PAPD7-7:1
Source: RNAcentral